Molecule: long non-coding RNA, 340 nt
Organism: Nematolebias whitei (Rio pearlfish)
Lineage: Eukaryota; Metazoa; Chordata; Actinopteri; Cyprinodontiformes; Rivulidae
Exons: 2
Source: RefSeq, a predicted model, not a curated record
CGGCACCUCCAGGUCGUUUCCGUCGACAGUGUUGGACUAGUUGGUUCAAUCGAGACAGUCCCAGUGGAACAGGUGACUAUGAGGAUUUGAAGUCUCUGAGAGAAGCUUACCCAGGACAAAUUUGUGAGAAACCUAUCGACAUUCAGGCUGUUACUGCUGAUAAAGAAAUUCCAGCUGGAAAGACACAUCAGAAAUUCUAUGCCUACGACAAAAAAAGAGGCUUCAUUUGCCGCAAUAAGGACCAGAAACAUGGAUCCUGCUUUGACUACAAGGUUCGCUUUAGAUGCCCAUGUGGACUUCGUGGCUAAGUUCACUUCUGCCAAUGAUGGAAAAAAAAAAA